RNAcentral lists this non-coding RNA (27 nucleotides) under Mus musculus (house mouse). Lineage: Eukaryota; Metazoa; Chordata; Mammalia; Rodentia; Muridae. The record is from RNAcentral.
UGGUCUACUUCCUGACCUACUGGCUUC